CGUGAGAUGUUGGGUUAAGUCCCGCAACGAGCGCAACCCCUAUCCUUUGUUGCCAGCACGCAAUGGUGGGAACUCAAAGGAGACUGCCGCGGACAACGCGGAGGAAGGCGGGGAUGACGUCAAGUCAUCAUGCCCCUUAUGUCCUGGGCUACACACGUACUACAAUGGGAUGGACAGAGAGCAGCGAAGCCGCGAGGCCAAGCGAACCCCAUAAACCAUCUCCCAGUUCGGAUUGCAGGCUGCAACCCGCCUGCAUAAGUACGGUCGAGUCGCUAGUAAU
RNAcentral lists this ribosomal RNA (280 nucleotides) under uncultured bacterium. RNAcentral's name for it is "partial 16S ribosomal RNA". It matches the Rfam family "Bacterial small subunit ribosomal RNA", at positions 1066 to 1342 of the family's 1533-position model. The record is from RNAcentral.